This 1372-nucleotide ribosomal RNA is filed under the name uncultured bacterium. Its description in RNAcentral is "bacterial SSU rRNA". It matches the Rfam family "Bacterial small subunit ribosomal RNA", at positions 28 to 1381 of the family's 1533-position model. The record is from RNAcentral.
GAUGAACGCUGGCGGCGUGCCUAAUACAUGCAAGUCGAGCGAACGGACGAGAAGCUUGCUUCUCUGAUGUUAGCGGCGGACGGGUGAGUAACACGUGGAUAACCUACCUAUAAGACUGGGAUAACUUCGGGAAACCGGAGCUAAUACCGGAUAAUAUUUUGAACCGCAUGGUUCAAAAGUGAAAGACGGUCUUGCUGUCACUUAUAGAUGGAUCCGCGCUGCAUUAGCUAGUUGGUAAGGUAACGGCUUACCAAGGCAACGAUGCAUAGCCGACCUGAGAGGGUGAUCGGCCACACUGGAACUGAGACACGGUCCAGACUCCUACGGGAGGCAGCAGUAGGGAAUCUUCCGCAAUGGGCGAAAGCCUGACGGAGCAACGCCGCGUGAGUGAUGAAGGUCUUCGGAUCGUAAAACUCUGUUAUUAGGGAAGAACAUAUGUGUAAGUAACUGUGCACAUCUUGACGGUACCUAAUCAGAAAGCCACGGCUAACUACGUGCCAGCAGCCGCGGUAAUACGUAGGUGGCAAGCGUUAUCCGGAAUUAUUGGGCGUAAAGCGCGCGUAGGCGGUUUUUUAAGUCUGAUGUGAAAGCCCACGGCUCAACCGUGGAGGGUCAUUGGAAACUGGAAAACUUGAGUGCAGAAGAGGAAAGUGGAAUUCCAUGUGUAGCGGUGAAAUGCGCAGAGAUAUGGAGGAACACCAGUGGCGAAGGCGACUUUCUGGUCCGUAACUGACGCUGAUGUGCGAAAGCGUGGGGAUCAAACAGGAUUAGAUACCCUGGUAGUCCACGCCGUAAACGAUGAGUGCUAAGUGUUAGGGGGUUUCCGCCCCUUAGUGCUGCAGCUAACGCAUUAAGCACUCCGCCUGGGGAGUACGACCGCAAGGUUGAAACUCAAAGGAAUUGACGGGGACCCGCACAAGCGGUGGAGCAUGUGGUUUAAUUCGAAGCAACGCGAAGAACCUUACCAAAUCUUGACAUCCUUUGACAACUCUAGAGAUAGAGCCUUCCCCUUCGGGGGACAAAGUGACAGGUGGUGCAUGGUUGUCGUCAGCUCGUGUCGUGAGAUGUUGGGUUAAGUCCCGCAACGAGCGCAACCCUUAAGCUUAGUUGCCAUCAUUAAGUUGGGCACUCUAAGUUGACUGCCGGUGACAAACCGGAGGAAGGUGGGGAUGACGUCAAAUCAUCAUGCCCCUUAUGAUUUGGGCUACACACGUGCUACAAUGGACAAUACAAAGGGCAGCGAAACCGCGAGGUCAAGCAAAUCCCAUAAGGUUGUUCUCAGUUCGGAUUGUAGUCUGCAACUCGACUACAUGAAGCUGGAAUCGCUAGUAAUCGUAGAUCAGCAUGCUACGGUGAAUACGUUCCCGGGUCU